CAGCCGCCGCGGGAAUACGGAGGGAGCUAGCGUUGUUCGGAAUUACUGGGCGUAAAGCGCGCGUAGGCGGUUACUCAAGUCAGAGGUGAAAGCCCGGGGCUCAACCCCGGAACUGCCUUUGAAACUAGGUGACUAGAAUCUUGGAGAGGUCAGUGGAAUUCCGAGUGUAGAGGUGAAAUUCGUAGAUAUUCGGAAGAACACCAGUGGCGAAGGCGACUGACUGGACAAGUAUUGACGCUGAGGUGCGAAAGCGUGGGGAGCAAACAGGAUUAGAUACCCCGGUAGUCCCUGUCUCUUAUAA
This 301-nucleotide ribosomal RNA is filed under the name uncultured bacterium. RNAcentral's name for it is "partial 16S ribosomal RNA". It matches the Rfam family "Bacterial small subunit ribosomal RNA", at positions 509 to 809 of the family's 1533-position model. The record is from RNAcentral.